This 2490-nucleotide long non-coding RNA is filed under the name Mytilus galloprovincialis (Mediterranean mussel). The record is from RNAcentral. Lineage: Eukaryota; Metazoa; Mollusca; Bivalvia; Mytilida; Mytilidae.
GUUUGUUACCGAUAGUUUAGAAAAACAAUAACAUAAAAUUAUCAGUUUAUUGUGGGCUUCCUUGUACGUUGAAAAUGAAGUAUUUUGUUUUAGUGCUCUGUGUUUUAUUUUGUGGAGUGCUUUCGAAAACUGUAUUAAAACGAAAUGAUUCGGAUAAAGGUGGAAAGAACAGUCCCCUGAUAUGGUUCAUGAUACAACAGUUAAAUGCUUUAGGAGCACGUGUAGAAAAACUCAGAGAUAUAGCACAUGAAAGUCAAAAAGAUAUGAUUUCUAUGAAAAGAGACAUGGCUGAUUUGAAAUCUAGAAACGGAAAAUUCGCCAUUGACAAAAAUGAGCAAUCGCUUGAUGACAUAAAUUCUAAAGUAAUUGCAGUAGCUAACAAAAAGAAAAUCGACAAUCUUACGUCAAAAUUAAAUAAGUUCGACACAGUCGCAAACAAAAAGAAAUUCGACGUCUGGAGGCAAGAUUAGAUAAGUUUGACAAUAGCAAACUCGACAAGCAAAUUAAGCAGGCGCUUUCACAGAUUAGAAGAUUCACCGAGAACCAUGAUAACAUCGGUAAGCUGUAGACAAUAAUGUCUGAUAAUUCUUAUAUGAUUUGCAUAUCUAUAAAUACUUAAAAUUUAAUUAAAAUGAAGUUUUGAGGUAGGUUCUAUUUCAUUUAAGAUUCCGUUGUAUUUGUCGACAUUGAUGGUUUUUAGAAAGUUAAGAUGGCGGCGUACUCCUUAGUUACGACUUGCCAUUGUGCUUUUGAUGGUAAAUAUGUAUAGUAGCCAUCAACAAAAAAAUGUUUGGCUGAAGAAUUAUAAGGAUUAAACACAUUUUUUCUACAGGUUAUUGAUGUGUAAACCGGGGCUCUUACUCACAAACUCAACUCGGACUUUUAUUCAGUUUGUGAGUUAAUCGCCCCGGUUUACACAUCAAUGACCUCUAGAAAAGAUGUGUUUAAUCCUAUAAUAUAAUUGAAUUUUAACAUUUAUUAUAAUACAUAUCCUGACUAUGUUAAUGUUUAUGCAUCCACAUUCUUACAAAUAUUUUUUCCGUUUAUCAAUUAUCAAUUAUCAUUCAAUGCUACAUAUACUUAUCAUAAUAUGCCCUCUUAGAUACAUAGAUCAUUUAGACGAACAAAAAUUACAUACCCUUCCGAAACACUUGACCCUGAGUUCACACUUCCAAUUUUAGGUGUGUUCUGUUUUUCUCAUAUUGUUUUUUCGUCUAUUUUGACCGUGGUGCGGCUUGCCUACGUAGAAAUUUUUUUGAGUUUUUUUUUAGUUUUUCAUGAUAAAGUGACAUCGCCAUAGCUAUGGGAAAAAAACCAACAAACAAUAGUUCACAAACCACAACAUAAAAACUAAAGAUUAGGCAAAACGAACCCCACCAAGAAAUUGGGUGAUCUCAUUUGCUCCGGAAAAGUAAGCAAAUUCUGCUCCUCAUGUGGCACCCGUUGUAACGCUAUUGUUAUUAUUAACCCGGUAAAUAGUCUAAUUCGGUAGGUCAAGGGGUAGGGAUUGUAGUAACGAUGUUAUGAGCAUAUCUGCUAUCAUCAGUGAUGGUGUCUGUCACAAUUACGAAGAUUUAAACUUCUUGGUCUAAUCAAUUCCUAGUGAGCAGCGAUAGCCUAUCAAGAAUCUUCUGCCUUUUUUUGCUCAUUUUUAGAAGUCGUUAGGGUGCCUGUAGUUCAUAACAUUUAUCCUUCGGUGUUUGGUGUAUUGUUUAAAUUGUUCUGCAUGUCCUUUUUUACAGGUGGAGGAGAUACAUAUGUACGGUGGGGUCGAUCUACUUGCCCAUCAAAAAAUGGAACUACACUUGUAUAUUCUGGUAAGUGCACAUAUUACAGUCGAAUGUGAUAAGAUUUAUAAUGUUCAUUAAAAGAUGAUGAACGUCAAAAUUGUUUCAAUUUUGUUUAAAUCAUGUAAAACAAUUGUUGGUAUUGUUAAUGAACAAUUGUCUUUUUAAUAAUAAGUAACAGUUAGUUACUGUAAAAAGUAAAACCACCAAAAAUAGUGAACUCCGAGGAAAAUUCAGUUAUAGAUAAUACAUAUUUUAAGGUUUUUCUUGUCGUAGAAAACACCGAGAGGUGUCAAGAUAGAUGAAAGGAAAGACUUAGGGCAAUCCUGACACCCCGAUAUGUGUUCUUCGACAGGACAAACCUUGAAAUAUGCAUUAUCGGACUUAUAUAUCGUCAAAAAUAUAUUAUUUUUUAUAAAAAAUUGCAAUAUUAAGCAUCCUAUUUUACCGACAACACUAAAGUUUACUAUUCCUUUUUAAUGCGUUCGGGUUUUUAAAAUACGCCUAGCGCAUUUAGAAUGUGUAAUAAAACCCACAAAUGAAUUGAGAUAUAAACCUUAGAAAUUAUUAUCUAUACACAAUUCAAAUGUUAACUGUAACUGCAUGAAGUAAGACACAAAUGACUUAUUACCAUUCAAUAACGGUGACUGAAAAAAUUCAAGACACUUUGAAAGUAAUUUACUUAGUUUUUGGAAAGGGGGCG